This 72-nucleotide transfer RNA is filed under the name Zhuliangozyma blackwelliae. RNAcentral describes it as "Candida blackwelliae tRNA-Glu". It matches the Rfam family "tRNA". From Rfam's summary of the family: Transfer RNA (tRNA) molecules are approximately 80 nucleotides in length. Their secondary structure includes four short double-helical elements and three loops (D, anti-codon, and T loops). Further hydrogen bonds mediate the characteristic L-shaped molecular structure. tRNAs have two regions of fundamental functional importance: the anti-codon, which is responsible for specific mRNA codon recognition, and the 3' end, to which the tRNAs corresponding amino acid is attached (by aminoacyl-tRNA synthetases). tRNAs cope with the degeneracy of the genetic code in two manners: having more than one tRNA (with a specific anti-codon) for a particular amino acid; and 'wobble' base-pairing, i.e. permitting non-standard base-pairing at the 3rd anti-codon position. Lineage: Eukaryota; Fungi; Ascomycota; Pichiomycetes; Serinales; Debaryomycetaceae. The record is from RNAcentral.
GACCAUAUGAUCUAAUGGUUAUGAUACAACCUCUUCGUGGUUGUUAUAUGAGUUCAAUUCUCAUUAUGGUUA